CUGAGGGUCAGUCCAGACAGGACCCAGCAUGGACAUGAGGGCCCCUGCUCAGCUCCUCAGCCUCCUGCUGCUCUGGCUCCCAGGGGUCAAGUGUGCCAUCCAGAUGACCCAGUCUCCAUCCUCCGUGUCUGCAUCUCCGGGAGACAGAGUCACCAUCUCCUGCCGGGCCAGUCAGGGUAUUAGCAGUUAUUUAAACUGGUAUCAGCAGAAUCCAGGGAAAGCUCCUAAGCUCCUCAUCUAUGGUGCAUCCAAUUUGCAAACUGGGGUCCCAUCCCGCUUCAGUGGCAGUGGAUCUGGGACUGAUUAUUCUCUCACCAUCAGCAGCCUGGAGCCUGAAGAUGUUGCCACUUACUACUGUCUUCACAGUUACAGUUCUCCUCCCACAGUGACACAAGCCUGAACAAAAACCACCCAGGGAGCAGCUGUGUGAGGCUGGGCAGCCCAGCUGCUUUCCAUGCUGCUUCUAUCUGCUGAGAGCACAUCUCAGAUGGAGUCUCACUUCGAAGGACUGAAGGGUCUGGUAGAAGGAGAAGGUGGUUCUUUGUCCCUAACUCUCUUUUCCCUCCUUGCCCAGCAGCACAGAGAAAACAAUGUCUCUGUGAAUUCAAUAAAGACAGAGCUGAUGACAC
This is a non-coding RNA of Talpa occidentalis (Iberian mole), 629 nucleotides long. Lineage: Eukaryota; Metazoa; Chordata; Mammalia; Eulipotyphla; Talpidae. The record is from the annotation of a RefSeq genome assembly.